RNAcentral lists this long non-coding RNA (405 nucleotides) under Ananas comosus (pineapple). RNAcentral's name for it is "long non-coding RNA (ACOM_LNC017819)". Lineage: Eukaryota; Viridiplantae; Streptophyta; Magnoliopsida; Poales; Bromeliaceae. The record is from RNAcentral.
GACAGUCAGGCUCUGUUUUACUUAAUAAGUACAAAGAAAUUUUAAUAUUUCAGUUUCGACCCGGUUUGGUCACCGAAAGCUGUACCGAACUGUAAUCUUUAUCAGAUAGCUGUCGGAUUUUAUUUUUCACCUUCCGGGUGUCAGAAUGAUAUGAAACUUUAAAUCUAGCCUCAUAAAAUAAUUCUGACUUAUCCUCCAGUUUUCAUAAUUUUCUGACACUGUACAUUUUCUGCUAAUUUAUCUGUCCCGUUUUUAACAGAAAAUUCUAAAUCUUCUAUUUUCAUUCCGAUUUCAGCACAAGUCACUUCUGACUUAUGUUUUACUUCUCUAAAUCCAAUAAAAAUAGUAUCUCAUACUAUUUUUAUUUAUUUUUAUUUUUACAUCAAAAUCCGGUAUGUUACAGAA